RNAcentral lists this ribosomal RNA (252 nucleotides) under uncultured bacterium. Its description in RNAcentral is "partial 16S ribosomal RNA". It matches the Rfam family "Bacterial small subunit ribosomal RNA", at positions 15 to 263 of the family's 1533-position model. The record is from RNAcentral.
GAUCCUGGCUCAGAUUGAACGCUGGCGGCAGGCCUAACACAUGCAAGUCGAACGGUAACAGGAAGAAGCUUGCUUCUUUGCUGACGAGUGGCGGACGGGUGAGUAAUGUCUGGGAAACUGCCUGAUGGAGGGGGAUAACUACUGGAAACGGUAGCUAAUACCGCAUAACGUCGCAAGACCAAAGAGGGGGACCUUCGGGCCGUCUUGCCAUCGGAUGUGCCCAGAUGGGAUUAGCUUGUUGGUGGGUAACGG